Long non-coding RNA from Ornithorhynchus anatinus (platypus), 801 nucleotides. RefSeq lists it as uncharacterized. NCBI's taxonomy places the organism in Eukaryota, Metazoa, Chordata, Mammalia, Monotremata, Ornithorhynchidae. The transcript has 5 exons. The record is from RefSeq and is a predicted model, not a curated record.
GCAUUACGCCAGGCCUGUUUGGUCGCGUAGAUGAGUUCUUCUUCUUUCAGCUGAUAAGUUGCUGUUGUUUCUAUCUCUUUUGUUACGGCUUCCACCCUGGCCAGAUGUUGCUCUAUUUUUGCCCUGGAGGACAGGAAAUCGCCAGGAAGAGAAACAAUGGACGUGCCUUUAAUGGGAACUAAUUCCAGCUGCACAAGCGGGAGCCCGAAGUAUCACUCCCAGAAAAUGGGAUGUCACUGGACGAAGUUAGGGGCAGAGGAGAGAUCUGAAGAACAGGAGAUGAGUAGAAGGAUACUGAAAAAAAUUUUAGAGGCACCUUCACUUAGCCUAAAAAUCAGAAUCUUAGCAGAGACUGAGGGUUCACUUUAGAGCUGUAGAUCUGCCCUGAAUUUAUCAUUACAUACCAAAAACCACUCUGGUGCUCUAGACCUUUCCCAGUGAGAAGAAUUCAAGUCCUCAUGCAGUCAGAUUCUCCCUGCCUUUAGGAUUACAACUCUAAGAUUUACCAGCGGGGCCGCGGAGACCACGGGAAAAAGUCCUUGGAUUCUUUCAAGCCGCCAGGAGGUACUUUCGGACAUGGCAGGUGAACCCUGGCUCGCUCCCAGUUGGGAAAGAAAGAACAGUCUCUUAGGAAGAAAAGAGAAGAGGACAGCAGAAGGAAACUGAGUUACAUCGAGCUUUCAGAGUCUGAGGGAAUUCAGAGACUGCUUCUGAUGAACCAUUCCUGACACAUACCCUCUGAGCAUAUUUUUUAUAUCCCCAGAAACCAGUUUUCAUCAAGUUUUCAUUGUGUGCACAGUA